AGUAACUCUCAGUCGACAUGAUGAUAGAGCAAUGAGGCUACCGAAAGGGAGAGCAGCAAAGUGUGAGUGACCUGGAGCACCCUCUCGGCAAAGUGGUGGGAGCAUUGGUUUGACACAGCAAUUACCAUUGCAGUCAUUAGCUGCUCACAUGACUUGUUUUCAAAGAACUGAGAAAAGGAAAUUUCCAUAAUGUUGCAGCUGUAAAAUACUAUGCUCCCGCAAUGAACGUACCUUGGGAAAUGUGAAAUUCACAGAAACUAGAAACUUACUUUGGGAGGGGAAGUUGAAAGAAGUUGCAAGUAACUUCAGAAACAUGGAAGAAGGGAUUUAGGAUUACAUACUAAAUGCUUCCAAAUAGUAAGUAUUUUUGGUCUCAG
Molecule: long non-coding RNA, 377 nt
Filed under: Struthio camelus australis
Lineage: Eukaryota; Metazoa; Chordata; Aves; Struthioniformes; Struthionidae
Description: lncRNA (ENSSCUG00000005110.1)
Source: RNAcentral